This 384-nucleotide unclassified non-coding RNA is filed under the name soil metagenome. RNAcentral describes it as "partial contains 5.8S ribosomal RNA, internal transcribed spacer 2, and large subunit ribosomal RNA". The stretch from base 1 to 120 matches the Rfam family "5.8S ribosomal RNA", at positions 35 to 154 of the family's 154-position model. The record is from RNAcentral.
GAUGAAGAACGUAGCGAAAUGCGAUAAGUAAUGUGAAUUGCAGAAUUCAGUGAAUCAUCGAAUCUUUGAACGCACCUUGCACCCUUUGGCAUUCCGAAGGGUAUGCUCGUUUGAGUGUCAUUGUACUCUCACUCUCCCGAUACUUUUGGAUCGGGAGUGGUGGACUUGGGUGUUGCUGCUUUGCUGUGGCUCGCCUCAAAUGGAGUAGUGCAACUCUUGGUUGGACAUAGUACGGCGUGAUAAGUGUCUUCGCCGGCGCCUCAUUAUAGAGGGUGGCCGAUCGGGAGCUCUGUGCUUCAAACCGUCUUCGGACAACAUCUGACAACUUGACCUCAAAUCGAGUAGGACUACCCGCUGAACUUAAGCAUAUCAAUAAGCGGAGGA